Molecule: ribosomal RNA, 1355 nt
Filed under: uncultured euryarchaeote
Lineage: Archaea; Methanobacteriati; Methanobacteriota
Description: 16S ribosomal RNA
Rfam family: Archaeal small subunit ribosomal RNA
Source: RNAcentral
GGCUCAGUAACACGUGGAUAACCUGCCCUCAGGUGGGGGAUAAUCUCGGGAAACUGAGGCUAAUACCCCAUAGGUCAUGGUCGCUGGAAUGCUCCAUGACUGAAAGCUUCGGCGCCUGAGGAUGGGUCUGCGGCCUAUCAGGUAGUAGUUGGGGUAACGGCCCAACUAGCCUAAAACGGGUACGGGCCCUGAGCGGGGGAGCCCGGAGAUGGACUCUGAGACACGAGUCCAGGCCCUACGGGGCGCAGCAGUCGCGAAAACUUCACACUGCGGGAAACCGUGAUGAGGGAACCCCAAGUGCCCAGGCGUUAGUCUGGGCUGUUCACAUGCCUAAAAAGCAUUUGAAGUAAGGGCUGGGUAAGACCGGUGCCAGCCGCCGCGGUAAUACCGGCAGCCCAAGUGGUGACCCCUAUUAUUGAGCCUAAAACGUCCGUAGCCGGCCCGGCAAAUCUCUGGACAAAUCGGGCAGCUCAACUGUUCGACUUCUAGAGAGACUACCGGGCUUGGGACCGGGAGAGGCCAGAGGUACGUCGGGGGUAGGGGUAAAAUCCUUUAAUCCUCGACGGACCACCGGUGGCGAAGGCGUCUGGCUAGAACGGAUCCGACGGUAAGGGACAAAGGCCAGGGGCGCAAACCGGAUUAGAUACCCGGGUAGUCCUGGCUGUAAACGCUGCAGGCUUGGUGUUGGGACUCCUUCGAGGGGUCUCAGUGCCGUAGCGAAGGUGUUAAGCCUGCUGCUUGGGGAGUACGGCCGCAAGGCUGAAACUUAAAGGAAUUGGCGGGGGAGCACAGCAACGGGAGGAGCGUGCGGUUCAAUUGGAUUCAACGCCGGAAAACUCACCAGGGGCGACUGGUACAUGAAGGCCAGGCUGAUGACCUUGCCUGAUUUCCAGAGAGGUGGUGCAUGGCCGUCGUCAGUUCGUACCGCAAGGCGUUCUCUUAAGUGAGAUAACGAACGAGACCCUCACCCCUAUUUGCCACUCGUCUCUCUGGAGAUGGAGCACUAUAGGGGGACCGCUGGCGCUAAGUCAGAGGAAGGAGAGGUCAACGGUAGGUCAGUAUGCCCCGAAUCCCCUGGGCUACACGCGCGCUACAAAGGACGGGACAAUGGGCUGCAACCCCGAGAGGGGGAGCCAAUCCCGAAACCCGUUCGUAGUCCGGACUGAGGGUUGUAACUCACCCUCACGAAGCUGGAUUCCGUAGUAAUCGCGGGUCAACAUCCCGCGGUGAAUGUGCCCCUGCUCCUUGCACACACCGCCCGUCAAACCAUCCGAGUUGGGCCCGGAUGAGGGUACCUCAUCAGGGGUGCUCGAAUCUGGGUUCAGCGAGGGGGGUUAAGUCGUAACAAGGUAACC